RNAcentral lists this ribosomal RNA (535 nucleotides) under uncultured bacterium. RNAcentral's name for it is "bacterial SSU rRNA". It matches the Rfam family "Bacterial small subunit ribosomal RNA", at positions 28 to 581 of the family's 1533-position model. The record is from RNAcentral.
GACGAACGCUGGCGGCGUGCUUAACACAUGCAAGUCGAGCGGAAAGGCCUUUCGGGGUACUCGAGCGGCGAACGGGUGAGUAACACGUGAGUAACUGCCCCUAGCUCCGGGAUAGCUCCGGGAAACCGGAAUUAAUACCGGAUAUGAUCACGGCCGACAUCGGCCGUGAUGGAAAGAUUUAUCGGCCAGGGAUGGGCUCGCGGCCUAUCAGCUUGUUGGUGGGGUAACAGCCUACCAAGGCGACGACGGGUAGCCGGCCUGAGAGGGCGACCGGCCACACUGGGACUGAGACACGGCCCAGACUCCUACGGGAGGCAGCAGUGGGGAAUACUGCGCAAUGGGCGAAAGUCUGACGCAGCGACGCCGCGUGGGGGAUGAAGGCCUUCGGGUUGUAAACCCCUUUCGGCAGGGACGAAGCGAAAGUGACGGUACCUGCAGAAGAAGCGCCGGCUAACUACGUGCCAGCAGCCGCGGUAACACGUAGGGCGCAAGCGUUGUCCGGAAUCAUUGGGCGUAAAGAGCUCGUAGGCGGUCC